AGAGUUUGAUCCUGGCUCAGGACGAACGCUGGCGGCGUGCCUAACACAUGCAAGUCGAGCGAUGAAACCCUUCGGGGUGGAUUAGCGGCGGACGGGUGAGUAACACGUGGGUAACCUGCCUCAAAGAGGGGAAUAGCCUCCCGAAAGGGAGAUUAAUACCGCAUAAUAUGUUUUGAUCGCAUGAUCUUAACAUCAAAGGAAACUUCUUCGGAAGAUUCCACUUUGAGAUGGACCCGCGGCGCAUUAGCUAGUUGGUGAGGUAACGGCCCACCAAGGCGACGAUGCGUAGCCGACCUGAGAGGGUGAUCGGCCACAUUGGAACUGAGACACGGUCCAGACUCCUACGGGAGGCAGCAGUGGGGAAUAUUGCGCAAUGGGGGAAACCCUGACGCAGCAACGCCGCGUGAAUGAUGAAGGUCUUCGGAUUGUAAAGUUCUGUCUUCUGGGACGAUAAUGACGGUACCAGAGGA
Molecule: ribosomal RNA, 470 nt
Filed under: uncultured bacterium
Lineage: Bacteria
Description: bacterial SSU rRNA
Rfam family: Bacterial small subunit ribosomal RNA
Source: RNAcentral